This 560-nucleotide ribosomal RNA is filed under the name Rhizobium sp. RNAcentral describes it as "bacterial SSU rRNA". It matches the Rfam family "Bacterial small subunit ribosomal RNA", at positions 44 to 646 of the family's 1533-position model. Lineage: Bacteria; Pseudomonadati; Pseudomonadota; Alphaproteobacteria; Hyphomicrobiales; Rhizobiaceae. The record is from RNAcentral.
GGGCAAUGCGCAGCUACCAUGCAGUCGAACGCCCCGCAAGGGGAGUGGCAGACGGGUGAGUAACGCGUGGGAACAUACCCUUUCCUGCGGAAUAGCUCCGGGAAACUGGAAUUAAUACCGCAUACGCCCUACGGGGGAAAGAUUUAUCGGGGAAGGAUUGGCCCGCGUUGGAUUAGCUAGUUGGUGGGGUAAAGGCCUACCAAGGCGACGAUCCAUAGCUGGUCUGAGAGGAUGAUCAGCCACAUUGGGACUGAGACACGGCCCAAACUCCUACGGGAGGCAGCAGUGGGGAAUAUUGGACAAUGGGCGCAAGCCUGAUCCAGCCAUGCCGCGUGAGUGAUGAAGGCCUUAGGGUUGUAAAGCUCUUUCACCGGAGAAGAUAAUGACGGUAUCCGGAGAAGAAGCCCCGGCUAACUUCGUGCCAGCAGCCGCGGUAAUACGAAGGGGGCUAGCGUUGUUCGGAAUUACUGGGCGUAAAGCGCACGUAGGCGGAUAUUUAAGUCAGGGGUGAAAUCCCAGAGCUCAACUCUGGAACUGCCUUUGAUACUGGGUAUCUUGAG